Molecule: long non-coding RNA, 525 nt
Filed under: Homo sapiens (human)
Lineage: Eukaryota; Metazoa; Chordata; Mammalia; Primates; Hominidae
Description: HSALNT0126430
Source: RNAcentral
CCCGGAAGGGGCGAGGCCAGCGGCGGGGCGGGGCUUAUGGAGAUCCUCUGACUCCAGGCCCUGUCCCCUGAGCUCUGCCCUCGGAUGUCCGACCGCCCAGAGCCUGCAUGCGCCGUGGGGCGCCCCAGGACCAGGAGCUGUAUUCAGGGCGGACCAGCGGAGCGGACCCCGACAGCUGCUGACCCUCUAUAACCCCACAGGAACUGCGCUUCGCUUCCGAGUCCUGUGCACAGCACCUGCCAAAUACACGGUGUUUGACGCAGAGGGAUAUGUGAAGCCCCAGUCUUGCAUUGACAUUGUGAUUCGCCAUGUGGCACCCAUUCCCAGCCACUAUGAUGUCCAGGACCGCUUCCGCAUUGAGCUGUCUGAGGAAGGAGCUGAGGGCCGAGUGGUGGGACGCAAGGACAUUACCUCCAUUCUGAGAGCCCCAGCGUACCCCCUUGAGCUUCAGGGACAGCCAGAUCCAGCGCCUCGCCCAGGGCCUCCUGCUGGGACACCACCACCCACGGCCAGACACUUCCAGGA